This is a long non-coding RNA of Oncorhynchus keta (chum salmon), 3792 nucleotides long. RefSeq lists it as uncharacterized. The record is from RefSeq and is a predicted model, not a curated record. NCBI's taxonomy places the organism in Eukaryota, Metazoa, Chordata, Actinopteri, Salmoniformes, Salmonidae. The transcript has 3 exons.
AGAGGUAGAUGCAGGCUACAGCAUGUCUGGUGUGACUUCUUAUUGUAGAGGUAGAUGCAGGCUACAGCAUGUCUCGUGUGACUUCUUAUUGUAGAGGUAGAUGCAGGAUACAGCAUGUCUGGUUUGACUUCUUAUUGUAGAGGUAGAUGCAGGCUACAGCAUGUCUGGUUUGACUUCUUAUUGUAGAGGUAGAUGCAGGCUACAGCAUGUCUGGUGUGACUUCUUAUUGUAGAGGUAGAUGCAGGCUACAGCAUGUCUGGUGUGACUUCUUAUUGUAGAGGUAGAUGCAGGCUACAGCAUGUCUGGUGUGACCUCUUAUUGUAGAGGUAGAUGCAGGCUACAGCAUGUCUGGUGUGACUUCUUAUUGUAGAGGUAGAUGCAGGCUACAGCAUGUCUGGUGUGACUUCUUAUUGUAGAGGUAGAUGCAGGCUACAGCAUGUCUGGUGUGACUUCUUAUUGUAGAGGUAGAUGCAGGCUACAGCAUGUCUGGUGUGACUUCUUAUGUAGGCUACAUGCAGGCUACAGCAUGUCUGGUGUGACUUCUUAUUGUAGAGGUAGAUGCAGGCUACAGCAUGUCUCGUGUGACUUCUUAUUGUAGAGGUAGAUGCAGGCUACAGCAUGUCUGGUGUGACUUCUUAUUGUAGAGGUAGAUGCAGGCUACAGCAUGUCUGGUGUGACUUCUUAUUGUAGAGGUAGAUGCAGGCUACAGCAUGUCUGGUGUGACUUCUUAUUGUAGAGGUAGAUGCAGGCUACAGCAUGUCUCGUGUGACUUCUUAUUGGAGAGGUAGAUGCAGGCUACAGCAUGUCUGGUGUGACUUCUUAUUGUAGAGGUAGAUGCAGGCUACAGCAUGUCUCGUGUGACUUCUUAUUGUAGAGGUAGAUGCAGGCUACAGCAUGUCUGGUGUGACUUCUUAUUGUAGAGGUAGAUGCAGGCUACAGCAUGUCUGGUGUGACUUCUUAUUGUAGAGGUAGAUGCAGGCUACAGCAUGUCUGGUGUGACUUCUUAUUGUAGAGGUAGAUGCAGGCUACAGCAUGUCUCGUGUGACUUCUUAUUGUAGAGGUAGAUGCAGGCUACAGCAUGUCUGGUGUGACUUCUUAUUGUAGAGGUAGAUGCAGGCUACAGCAUGUCUGGUGUGACUUCUUAUUGUAGAGAUAGAUGCAGGCUACAGGAUGUCUGGUGUGACUUCUUAUUGUAGAGGUAGAUGCAGGCUACAGCAUGUCUGGUGUGACUUCUUAUUGUAGAGGUAGAUGCAGGCUACAGCAUGUCUGGUGUGACUUCUUAUUGUAGAGGUAGAUGCAGGCUACAGCAUGUCUCAUGUGACUUCUUAUUGUAGAGGUAGAUGCAGGCUACAGCAUGUCUCAUGUGACUUCUUAUUGUAGAGGUAGAUGCAGGCUACAGCAUGUCUGGUGUGACUUCUUAUUGUAGAGGUAGAUGCAGGCUACAGCAUGUCUGGUGUGACUUCUUAUUGUAGAGGUAGAUGCAGGCUACAGCAUGUCUGGUGUGACUUCUUAUUGUAGAGGUAGAUGCAGGCUACAGCAUGUCUGGUGUGACUUCUUAUUGUAGAGGUAGAUGCAGGCUACAGCAUGUCUGGUGUGACUUCUUAUUGUAGAGGUAGAUGCAGGCUACAGCAUGUCUGGUGUGACUUCUUAUUGUAGAGGUAGAUGCAGGCUACAGCAUGUCUCGUGUGACUUCUUAUUGUAGAGGUAGAUGCAGGCUACAGCAUGUCUGGUGUGACUUCUUAUUGUAGAGGUAGAUGCAGGCUACAGCAUGUCUGGUGUGACUUCUUAUGUAGGCUACAUGCAGGCUACAGCAUGUCUGGUGUGACUUCUUAUUGUAGAGGUAGAUGCAGGCUACAGCAUGUCUCGUGUGACUUCUUAUUGUAGAGGUAGAUGCAGGCUACAGCAUGUCUGGUGUGACUUCUUAUUGUAGAGGUAGAUGCAGGCUACAGCAUGUCUGGUGUGACUUCUUAUUGUAGAGGUAGAUGCAGGCUACAGCAUGUCUCGUGUGACUUCUUAUUGGAGAGGUAGAUGCAGGCUACAGCAUGUCUGGUGUGACUUCUUAUUGUAGAGGUAGAUGCAGGCUACAGCAUGUCUCGUGUGACUUCUUAUUGUAGAGGUAGAUGCAGGCUACAGCAUGUCUGGUGUGACUUCUUAUUGUAGAGGUAGAUGCAGGCUACAGCAUGUCUGGUGUGACUUCUUAUUGUAGAGGUAGAUGCAGGCUACAGCAUGUCUGGUGUGACUUCUUAUUGUAGAGGUAGAUGCAGGCUACAGCAUGUCUCGUGUGACUUCUUAUUGUAGAGGUAGAUGCAGGCUACAGCAUGUCUGGUGUGACUUCUUAUUGUAGAGGUAGAUGCAGGCUACAGCAUGUCUGGUGUGACUUCUUAUUGUAGAGAUAGAUGCAGGCUACAGCAUGUCUGGUGUGACUUCUUAUUGUAGAGGUAGAUGCAGGCUACAGCAUGUCUGGUGUGACUUCUUAUUGUAGAGGUAGAUGCAGGCUACAGCAUGUCUGGUGUGACUUCUUAUUGUAGAGGUAGAUGCAGGCUACAGCAUGUCUCAUGUGACUUCUUAUUGUAGAGGUAGAUGCAGGCUACAGCAUGUCUGGUGUGACUUCUUAUUGUAGAGGUAGAUGCAGGCUACAGCAUGUCUGGUGUGACUUCUUAUUGUAGAGGUAGAUGCAGGCUACAGCAUGUCUGGUGUGACUUCUUAUUGUAGAGGUAGAUGCAGGCUACAGCAUGUCUGGUGUGACUUCUUAUUGUAGAGGUAGAUGCAGGCUACAGCAUGUCUGGUGUGACUUCUUAUUGUAGAGGUAGAUGCAGGCUACAGCAUGUCUGGUGUGACUUCUUAUUGUAGAGGUAGAUGCAGGCUACAGCAUGUCUGGUGUGACUUCUUAUUGUAGAGGUAGAUGCAGGCUACAGCAUGUCUGGUGUGACUUCUUAUUGUAGAGGUAGAUGCAGGCUACAGCAUGUCUGGUGUGACUUCUUAUUGUAGAGGUAGAUGCAGGCUACAGCAUGUCUCGUGUGACUUCUUAUUGUAGAGGUAGAUGCAGGCUACAGCAUGUCUGGUGUGACUUCUUAUUGUAGAGGUAGAUGCAGGCUACAGCAUGUCUCGUGUGACUUCUUAUUGUAGAGGUAGAUGCAGGCUACAGCAUGUCUGGUGUGACUUCUUAUUGUAGAGGUAGAUGCAGGCUACAGCAUGUCUGGUGUGACUUCUUAUUGUAGAGGUAGAUGCAGGCUACAGCAUGUCUGGUGUGACUUCUUAUGUAGGCUACAUGCAGGCUACAGCAUGUCUGGUGUGACUUCUUAAUGUAGAGGUAGAUGCAGGCUACAGCAUGUCUGGUGUGACUUCUUAUUGUAGAGGUAGAUGCAGGCUACAGCAUGUCUGGUUUGACUUCUUAAUGUAGAGGUAGAUGCAGGCUACAGCAUGUCUGGUGUGACUUCUUAUUGUAGAGGUAGAUGCAGGCUACAGCAUGUCUGGUUUGACUUCUUAAUGUAGAGGUAGAUGCAGGCUACAGCAUGUCUGGUGUGACUUCUUAUUGUAGAGGUAGAUGCAGGCUACAGCAUGUCUGGUGUGACUUCUUAUGUAGGCUACAUGCAGGCUACAGCAUGUCUGGUGUGACUUCUUAUUGUAGAGGUAGAUGCAGGCUACAGCAUGUCUGGUGUGACUUCUUAUUGUAGAGGUAGAUGCAGGCUACAGCAUGUCUGGUGUGACUUCUUAUUGUAGAGGUAGAUGCAGGCUACAGCAUGUCUGGUGUGACUUCUUAUUGUAGAGGUAGAUGCAGGCUACAGCAUGUCU